GGGAGAUCCAAAUGUGAUGCAUCUUGGAGGAGUGGAGUUGGUGUUUGAGUCUGAGUUUCUUUGCUGUUCCAACAGCCAGAUGGUUGCGAGAAUGGCUAUCGGACCUCCGGCUGAGUGGCCAGUAAACACCACAGGCUUAUUCACUCUCAGAACCUGGGAAAACAAAAUCCGAUUAUGUAUCUCAAUAGUUAUAAGAAGAGACUGGAUUUAUU
RNAcentral lists this unclassified non-coding RNA (212 nucleotides) under Hevea brasiliensis (rubber tree). Lineage: Eukaryota; Viridiplantae; Streptophyta; Magnoliopsida; Malpighiales; Euphorbiaceae. The record is from RNAcentral.